GUCACUUCCGGCCCCCAUGUUUGUUGUGUUAACAUGUCUCAGUCUCCCGGAGGUUUGAAGGAGGAUCUGUCAACGUGGACAUGUCUCUUAAACUCUCUUAAAGUCUCUUAAACUCUUUUAAACUCUUUUAAACUCCGAGGUGAGCUGGGCUGGUUUGACUCUUCAUCACCAGAGAGCGAUGAAGAGUCGAAGCUGAGAGUUGAUCCAUGAGCUGCUGUCGUUUCCUCUUCUGAUGAAGCUCGUCCAGCUCCAGAUGUUUGAGUUCAGUUUGAACUGUGGCUGUGGAGACGCUGGAGCAGAACCAUCGUCAGAGCAGAAAGAGAACCACACAAAAGAGAAGUGGACAGUGAAGCCUUCAGAUGCGGCCCGGUCCCUCUGGCGCCGGUUCUUGAACCAGUUGCCGACCUGUGUGGGUGUGAGUCCGGUGGCCUGGGCCAGGUGCCGCUUCCUGGACGGGUUGGGGUACGGGUCCUGGAGGUACCACUCUCUCAGCAGACU
Platichthys flesus (European flounder) is the source of this 498-nucleotide long non-coding RNA. RefSeq lists it as uncharacterized. The transcript has 4 exons. The record is from RefSeq and is a predicted model, not a curated record. NCBI's taxonomy places the organism in Eukaryota, Metazoa, Chordata, Actinopteri, Pleuronectiformes, Pleuronectidae.